RNAcentral lists this ribosomal RNA (467 nucleotides) under uncultured bacterium. RNAcentral's name for it is "partial 16S ribosomal RNA". It matches the Rfam family "Bacterial small subunit ribosomal RNA", at positions 28 to 507 of the family's 1533-position model. The record is from RNAcentral.
GACGAACGCUGGCGGCGUGCUUAACACAUGCAAGUCGAACGGAAAGGCCCUGCUUUUGUGGGGUGCUCGAGUGGCGAACGGGUGAGUAACACGUGAGUAACCUGCCCUUGACUUUGGGAUAACUUCAGGAAACGGGGGCUAAUACCGGAUAGGAGCUCCUGCUGCAUGGUGGGGGUUGGAAAGUUUCGGCGGUUGGGGAUGGACUCGCGGCUUAUCAGCUUGUUGGUGGGGUAGUGGCUUACCAAGGCUUUGACGGGUAGCCGGCCUGAGAGGGUGACCGGCAAAAUGGGGACUGGGAAACGGCCCAGACUCCUACGGGAGGAAGCAGUGGGAAUAUUGCACAAUGGGCGGAAGCCUGAUGCAGCAACGCCGCGUGCGGGAUGACGGCCUUCGGGUUGUAAACCGCUUUCGCCUGUGACGAAGCGUGAGUGACGGUAAUGGGUAAAGAAGCACCGGCUAACUACGUG